This is a long non-coding RNA of Felis catus (domestic cat), 739 nucleotides long. RefSeq lists it as uncharacterized. The transcript is spliced from 3 exons. NCBI's taxonomy places the organism in Eukaryota, Metazoa, Chordata, Mammalia, Carnivora, Felidae. The record is from RefSeq and is a predicted model, not a curated record.
UUCCGGGUUCUUCUUCCUACCCAGCUUGCCCUGGGCGCGCACUUGUGAGCACGUCCCAAAUUACUACUAAUGCAGAAUGCAGAAGUUAACAGACUAUAAAGUGUUCCCUCUGCUUACCCUCCGGUCUCAGACCUCUGGAGAGUGAUCUUUUCGGUGCUACUGGUGUGAAAGAAACCUCCUGCCUUCCAAGAUCUCCCGAGUGCCGAGUGCCGCUUGGUUCUUCUGCCAAGUGAUCCAGACCAGGAGGUGAAGAUUUGCUGAUCUCAGCCAGACUCAGCCAAACUUGGCUCUAGGGCAAGGGCUAGGUCAAACCUGUUCCAUGAGCCUGAUUCUGGGGUCAAGCUGAGGGACAGUAGCCACAAGGACAUAUUCUCAUGGAAAUGGCAGAAGUCCAGGAGUGAAACAAAAUUAUGAUAACAUGUUUUAGACUUUUAUAACAUUCCAUGGGCCAAAGCAACUCGCAUGGGCAAAGAUGACAUUAAAUGGGAUAGUCAAGCAUAUUCUACUCUCAGUAAGAGGAGAAGAAAGUAAAUAUCUGUUGAAAAAUAAUCCUAUCACACCAGCUGACAUCGAAGGACAUUCUCAGAAAUAAUUUAAGACUGGACUCUGAAAAUUGUUCCAAUCUUGAAUAACAUAUGUUUGAAGCAUAUUGUGUCUCCAAUCAGCAAAUCACUCCUGAAUUCAAAAGCAAAAAUCCUUGUUACUCUACAUGAAAAUUAAACAUGAAAAUUUUCUGACA